CAACUUUCUCGUGUUCCAUGACUCUGACCUCAAGGAAGUGAGGAGUAUUGAUGUCGUAUUACCUUGCAGAUGAAGGCGUAUCAAAAAAAGAAGAAAAAAAAAGGGCAUGCAUGCAGCUAUUUGGAAUGGUUGGAAUCGGUAAUAGAGAUGGAGCUCACAUGAAGUAAAUAAGAGAAUGAUAGUCAAAAAGAGAAAUGAUUGUGUUGGAAAAAGAAGAUCUUGGAGAUGCAUUGUACAUCCAUGGGAGGCCAUUGGAAUUAUAAAUAGGCUUCCCCUUCCGUUGAAAAAUGUACAACCGAUCCAGAAACAAGAGAGAGUGAGGGAGAGAAGAAUUUGAGAGUGUGAGAGCUCUAUCUUAGAAAGAGUUCUAUCAGAGGAAGAAAUUCUGUCCGUAUAAACACCACAAGAGCUAAAUAUAAUUUCACUCCCAAUAUUCAGUGGUACUUCCCAUACUCUAAUUAUUUUAUUUUAUAAUAAAAUGUAAUAUAAAAAUGUACAAGUCAUGGAUUGACCUAAUUGUAAAUUUGAUACAGGUUGUUUAUGUUGCGGGUCAUCUGUUGCGGGUGAUUUGCUAUUAUCAUGGCUUGUAGUUAUAAGCACAUGACAAUUUAAUCUAAAUCAUUGAUACAUCUUAAAUUCAGCUGCACUAGCACAUGUUAAAUUCAAAGUUGAAAUUGCUCUUCUCAGAGUUGUCAAGUCAUGUUCGUCUUACCCAUAAGAAUCUCAUGCAAAAGUAAAUAGAACGACAUCAACUU
Long non-coding RNA from Prunus persica (peach), 755 nucleotides. RefSeq lists it as uncharacterized. The record is from RefSeq and is a predicted model, not a curated record. The transcript has 2 exons. Lineage: Eukaryota; Viridiplantae; Streptophyta; Magnoliopsida; Rosales; Rosaceae.